RNAcentral lists this unclassified non-coding RNA (646 nucleotides) under Hevea brasiliensis (rubber tree). Lineage: Eukaryota; Viridiplantae; Streptophyta; Magnoliopsida; Malpighiales; Euphorbiaceae. The record is from RNAcentral.
CAUCAUAGCUGGUAAAUCAACUUCAACAGAUGAAAACUUCACACCAUGGCUGGCAAAUGAAUGCUGAGCUUCAUGGAACAUAUGGGAGGAGUGAAGAAGUGCCUUAGAAGGGAUGCAUCCAACGUUGAGGCAGGUGCCACCGAGAGUUCCACGUUUCUCGAUGCAAGUGGUUUUGAGUCCGAGCUGAGCGGCCUUGAUAGCAGCGACGUAGCCGCCGGGACCGCCGCCGAUGACAACGACGUCGUUCUCCUCAGAUCCCGAGGAGGCGAAGCCACGAGAGAAGCUGGUGAGCGAGAAAGAGUACCUGAGAGCAUCAGGGUUGGAAUUGGAGAAAUUUCUAGCAAGAAGGUAUGCCUUUCUUCUCGCGAAGCUUGCCAUCGCCAUUUUUUAUUGUUCUGGUAUCUACACAGUGUGAGUUCUCUUUCUAUUUUGUAUCAUGACGAUGAGACUGCGGCUUUUGACAAUUCACCGGCCCAAGAAUAUUUUACCUUUUUUCUUUUUUAUUUUUUUGUUUUAUUUAUAGUUCAGAGCAAUCUGGUGUAUUCGUGCGUCGGUUACAAGUGAGAAUCUGAUGCAAUCAAAGCCUUUCGUUUGCCUCGGUCAAUUUGACUGGCAAUUUUCUUCUGUAUCAUAAAAUGAACGGAUC